UCGGGGGCGACGGGAUCUGGGGACCUCCCAGCCGCCGCACGGGGGCGACUCAGGAGGAUGAGGACGAGGAGUCCUUAAAGUAUCCGGGUGAUACAGCUUCAGCAUAUCCAUUUUGGUAUGAAAAGACUCAAUUUUCAAGUUGAACAAUGGCAAUGAUUUCCAUUUACCGUUCCUUGGAUAUGGCGUGCAUUGAAUGGAUAAUACAGUUUGGUAUGACUGAUUAACUUAUUUUUCCUGCAGGUACCUAGAGUUAUGUUCCGGUAGCUGUGGGCUGUGGUCAGUGUAGAAAUUGGCCCUCCAUGUAGUCAGAAUGAAUUUGUAUCCGCUUCCGAUAACUGCUGCUGCUGUUAUUUCAGUAAUCUGUGUGGAACAAGUCAAAUCGACAUUGCUUGCAUUUGUGCCGCGUGGUGUCUGCUGUUGACUCUCGUAUUUGACUCGAAUUAAUGUUAUUGUCUGGCACAUCUUGUUAUGAGGUA
Molecule: long non-coding RNA, 476 nt
Filed under: Triticum aestivum (bread wheat)
Lineage: Eukaryota; Viridiplantae; Streptophyta; Magnoliopsida; Poales; Poaceae
Description: long non-coding RNA (TAES_LNC020027)
Source: RNAcentral